This 72-nucleotide transfer RNA is filed under the name Camelus bactrianus (Bactrian camel). It matches the Rfam family "tRNA". Rfam says of the family: Transfer RNA (tRNA) molecules are approximately 80 nucleotides in length. Their secondary structure includes four short double-helical elements and three loops (D, anti-codon, and T loops). Lineage: Eukaryota; Metazoa; Chordata; Mammalia; Artiodactyla; Camelidae. The record is from Rfam by way of RNAcentral. RNAcentral also lists the same sequence under 1 other name.
GGGGGGAUUGCUCAGUGGUAGAGUGCAUGCCUGGCAUGCACAAGAUCCUGGAUUCAAACCCCAGCGCCCCUG